This is a long non-coding RNA of Drosophila mojavensis, 2052 nucleotides long. RefSeq lists it as uncharacterized. The record is from RefSeq and is a predicted model, not a curated record. NCBI's taxonomy places the organism in Eukaryota, Metazoa, Arthropoda, Insecta, Diptera, Drosophilidae. The transcript is spliced from 4 exons.
UGUCAUUGAGAAUUUACUCAGUAGGCUUGAUAACAGUGACAGUUUUCGGUCAUGCUCUCAUGUAAAAAAAUUUUUCAUGCACAUUUUAUUAAUACGCGAACGUGAUUAAUAAAUAUACGUAUUUUAUUAAUAUAAAAGACAACAAUGCAACAAAAACGCAAGGGGAUAGUUUGAGUCGUCGAACACUCAAAUCUAGAAGCAUGCAAGAUAGAAGAGCACAAAUAUCAGAUGAAGAAAGGCAACAAAGCAAUACAUAUGUCCGUGUAAGCAUGGCGCAGUUACGUGCAUCACAAUUGCAAGAGGCACGAGAUGAGCGAAACCAGCAAAGACAAUUAGAACGAAGAGAAGCGCGCAGAUUCGUAGUCAACAGCCAUAAAGGAAUUGACCGACAGCGUCAACAAGUGCAUUGAGUUUACAGCACAUUCCAAAGUGGUCAUUGGUACAUUGGACAAAGAAUGCCCGCACUGCCAUGCCUUUAAAUUUAAAAAUGAGCCGAUCGCGAUGUGUUGCUCAUCAGGAAAAGUAAUACGUAAAUACGCACAAAUACGUAAUAAUGUAAAAUUUAUAAGCUUCUGUGUGGCCAGUGUCUUUUGCUCCAUUAGCAUUUGCUGGUCUUAUCAUAAAGUUUAGUCUACUUCCCUGGAUAAAGAUAUAUGAAAAAAGUUUAGUUUAAUUUUUUGGGUUUUUUUUCGUUGCUCCGCCGAAGUCUAUUAUUAAAUUAUAUAACUUGUAAUUUGACUGUCUCAAAAUUUCUUAAUGACUUAUAUAUACUUAUAUAUACUUUUCUACCAAGUCCAUGGAUUUAACAUUGAAAAACUUUGUAUAAUUUUCAAAAAUUUUCAAAAUCAAUUUUGGCUCCGAUAACUAUUUACGAUAAAUUUGUUAGACGUGCACUAUCGAUAACUCUUCGAGAUGGUCGAAUAACAGCUGUAGUUGCUGAGGUAAAAGUAGACCAAUUCUAGUAUUUCUACUUUGGCGCAUUUAGUAUAUUUUCUUGCAGUAGAAAAUCGGUCUAUUAAUUUAACGGUAUGACACUAUACUUUCGGAAAAUGGUUAACGAAAAUGGUUUUAACACUGUUAUGCUUUACAAUCCCAAUCCUCAGCUAAUCCUAAUCGGAUUAAAUACCAUUAACGGUUUUUUCAAAAUUAACAAGUAGUAUAGAUAUAAUUCUAUGGGUUAAAAUAAUAAUAAUAUUUCAAAUCAACACGUUUGAAAAUAGGGCAAUAAAUACCUCAUUAAAUAAAGAUUAAUAAAUUCGGCCGUAACAUUGUGUGAGCAAUAACGGCAUCGAACACAAAUAUGAAUUGCUUUAAGCAGAGUAAUUUUGAAUCAUUUGGACGCAUGCGCCUUUAUCCGAAAUAUACACUGUUAGCUUAACAGACCGAUUUACAUAAAAUAACUGUUAAAUCGUAAAGCAUCACUAUCACGACUGACCUGAUGUCGCGGAGUAGUCCCCGGUUGAGUAGAUUAUGCAAAGCGUAGACAAAAUAAAACGUGCAAAGCAGCUCCCCAGCAAGCAUUUGGAAGACUGUUUUAACAGAAAUCUUGAUAAGUGUUUUUUGAGUCCCCUUGACGAUUAAAAAACGACUAAUCUCCUGGGCGAUUGAAAGAAGACUCAUAAAUGACCCUUCCAUAUGCUCAAAGUAUGAUUGCUUUCAAAUACAAAAACGAAAUGCAAAGCAAUCGCCAAAUGAGCAUGCAGGUGAUUAAAAUAUGAUCAUUGCUUGGUUUUGCUUUGUUACUAUGCACUUAUAUUCUGCUUGCUUGGCUGAUCCAAAAACGAUUCUAAGCUUAGAUCUAUGUAAGUUAAACGGCACUUUUUCUUAAGCACAUGCCGAAAUGUUUAAAUUUUGUCAUUCGAUCGUGAAGUGCAAGUGCGAAGUGCAAACAUACAUAAACAUAUCAAAUAAAAAGAUAUUACUAAUGAAAAAUAUAAAUGCACGGACAAAGAUUUGAAUACGGAGCUACAAAAGCAUUUUGUCCAUGCCAAUGACAGGCUGGCGAAGCGUAGGCGUUUAGAGUAAUAUAAAACAUACAUGUAAAUAAUAUUG